Molecule: ribosomal RNA, 253 nt
Filed under: uncultured bacterium
Lineage: Bacteria
Description: partial 16S ribosomal RNA
Rfam family: Bacterial small subunit ribosomal RNA
Source: RNAcentral
UACGGAGGGGGCGAGCGUUAUUCGGAAUUAUUGGGCGUAAAGGGCGCGUAGGCGGCUGGGCAAGUCAAAGGUGAAAUCCCUCGGCUCAACUGAGGAACUGCCUUUGAAACUGCCUGGCUUGAGGCCGGGAGGGGGUAGCGGAAUUCCCAGUGUAGCGGUGAAAUGCGUAGAUAUCGGGAGGAACACCUGUGGCGAAAGCGGCGCACUGGACCACAACUGACGCUGAGGCGCGAAAGCUAGGGGAGCAAACAGG